This 253-nucleotide ribosomal RNA is filed under the name uncultured bacterium. Its description in RNAcentral is "partial 16S ribosomal RNA". It matches the Rfam family "Bacterial small subunit ribosomal RNA", at positions 524 to 776 of the family's 1533-position model. The record is from RNAcentral.
UACAGAGGUCUCGAGCGUUAGGCGGAAUCACUGGGCUUAAAGCGUGUGUAGGCGGGUCGUUAAGUUCCUUGUGAAAUCCCAUGGCUCAACCAUGGAACUGCUGGGUAUACUGGCGAUCUUGUGCAACCUAGGGGCGAGCGGAACAGAUGGUGGAGCGGUGAAAUGCGUAGAUAUCAUCUGGAACGCCAAUGGUGAAAACAGCUCGCUGGGGGUUUGCAGACGCUGAGACACGAAAGCCAGGGGAGCGAACGGG